UGUGAAGGGUNCACUCUGCUCUUUAAGUGGU
RNAcentral lists this non-coding RNA (31 nucleotides) under Mus musculus (house mouse). Lineage: Eukaryota; Metazoa; Chordata; Mammalia; Rodentia; Muridae. The record is from RNAcentral.